Molecule: long non-coding RNA, 869 nt
Filed under: Malus domestica (apple)
Lineage: Eukaryota; Viridiplantae; Streptophyta; Magnoliopsida; Rosales; Rosaceae
Description: long non-coding RNA (MDOM_LNC013310)
Source: RNAcentral
ACUAAAGAGACACGACAUAAAUGCACAAGAACAAGCCAACUAAGUCGCAUAAAUAUGCUCCUAUCAAAUUCCCCCACACUUAGCUUUUGCUAGUCCUCGAGCAAAACAAAAUAACUAAACAAAACCAAACCAACAAAAUGAACAAAAUCCAACCUAAGCCUUCCAACGUUUGCCUCAGGGAUUUCCAAUGUACAUGUCAUGUUAAAAAUUGUCAUCCCCACAGAUUUUAGUUGUCUUCACACUUAAGCACAUACUUAAUCAUAGUCACCACUUACUUGUUCGCAAUUAAUCGAUUAAAACAAUGUUUUUGAUGUAGUAACAUGCCUUAGAGAAUUUACUCAAGUCCUUACAAAGUAUGCACUCAAUUUUCACUCAGAUUUUCUAACUACACACACUAUACUAGUCAUAUGUGAGAAGAUUGAUGUAAACAUGAAAACGAACGCUCACAUAUAUGUAUUACAAAGAAAGCGAUUUCUGGAGCAUGUUUAGAUAUGAUCUCAUGAAUGGAAUGCUACUACUUAGAUGCGAGAACCAGUGACACCAUAUGCUCAUAUCAAUUUCAAACUCCACAUAUUGAACCGCAUGACACUCAAGAUGAAGUUAAGGGUUGUAACGGGGCUUGGGGUGAUGGCUAACAAAUGAAGGAUAAGGAUAACAAUCGUUCUUAAAGCAAUAGCAAGCAAAGUAAUGAAAUUGAAACUUAGAAUUCACUUAGAUUGCAGAAAUCAGCUUUUAGACACGAAGGGAAAAUUCAAGCAAUAUUUAGGGCCGAAUUCUAUGUUUUGGACCCUUUCUUCAACAAGCAGCACUUUAAAACUCUUUUUCACAUAUUUUUCAACUCCCCUUUUUUUUUUCUCAACUCUUCUUUU